ACCUACGGGGGGCAGCAGUGGGGAAUAUUGCACAAUGGGGGAAACCCUGAUGCAGCGACGCCGCGUGAGUGAAGAAGUAUUUCGGUACGUAAAGCUCUAUCAGCAGGGAAGAAAGAAAGUCCUUUGGACUUUGGACGGUACCUGACCAAGAAGCCCCGGCUAACUACGUGCCAGCAGCCGCGGUACUACGUAGGGGGCAAGCGUUAUCCGGAUUUACUGGGUGUAAAGGGAGCGUAGACGGCAAUGCAAGCCAGAUGUGAAAACCCGCAGCUCAACUGGGGGAGUGCGUUUGGAACUGUGUAGCG
Molecule: ribosomal RNA, 305 nt
Filed under: uncultured bacterium
Lineage: Bacteria
Description: bacterial SSU rRNA
Rfam family: Bacterial small subunit ribosomal RNA
Source: RNAcentral